This 60-nucleotide microRNA precursor is filed under the name Scyliorhinus torazame (cloudy catshark). RNAcentral's name for it is "Sto-Mir-29-P2b_pre stem-loop". It matches the Rfam family "mir-29 microRNA precursor family", at positions 6 to 64 of the family's 70-position model. From Rfam's summary of the family: This family represents the microRNA (miRNA) precursors mir-29. Animal miRNAs are transcribed as ~70nt precursors and subsequently processed by the Dicer enzyme to give a ~22nt product. In this case the mature sequence comes from the 3' arm of the precursor. Lineage: Eukaryota; Metazoa; Chordata; Chondrichthyes; Carcharhiniformes; Scyliorhinidae. The record is from RNAcentral.
ACUGAUUUCUCUUGGUGUUUAGAGUCUAUAUAUUUAUCUAGCACCAUUUGAAAUCGGUUA